UUUAUUUUUUGAAAAAUAUUUAAUUUAUUAUAUUUAUUAUUUACAUGUUAGGUAAUAAGUGCAUAGCUUUGCCUAAAUUAUUUAAAUUUCUUUAACUAUUUAAUGUUGUAUAUGAUAUUAUCCUGAAAUGAGCGAAAAAAUUUUGUACAUCGUAUCGGAUUAUGUUCAAUGGCAUGAAACUAGUUUUGAAAAAAUCCUCAAAGAAAAAGCCCUCUAAGUGUUGUUUAUUACAUCAGUGCAUUAAAAUAUUUUCCCUAUUUUUCUUCAGAAAUAUAAUUUUUUCUAAUGAAUGAACAUGGAAGUUUUGUAUUGGAGGCAAUAGCCAAGUUUUGUCUGUUGUCCAACAUUUCAAACUGAAAAGUAUUGGUAAAAUGUACUUGGUGAUUUGUUAAAAAUUUCAGAGUUAUGUUUCCCGUCACUUUCAAUUGAAAUAUGUUACGAGGAAUAUGUCAAAAUGCUGUUGGAUAGUCAAAAUCAAAAAAUAAUACCAUUAGGUAAAGAUGUUUUAUUGGGUAAAUUACCAGAGCACUUAAGUUUAAAGAUUGUUAAAAACACAUUUGAUAUGUAUUUCGAUCGAGCCAAGUCUUUCAAUGAUGCAUCAAUGGCCUUAGCAAAUUUAUGUUUACAAAUUAUACCUAAUAUCAAAGAUUUACAAUUACAUGAAUGGAAUUUAAUUUCUGCUUUGACAAUAUUUAAUACUCUUGGUACCAAAUUACUUCCAGUCUAAAUGCGUCAAUGUAAAAAUAAAUGGAAGUUGAUAGACAUUACUAUAUCUUUUAAACCAAACAAUUAUACAUUAUUGAAAAAGUUAAUAACAUUAGCUAACAAAUUGGAUAUUAAAUGUCAUGAUAGCUUUACUUCUACCGAAUCCAAUAUUUUAUUCAAAUGUGCUAUGGUUGCAUAUCAAGCUAAUGGUUUGAAAUUUGCUUCUAAAAUAUGUGGUCAAUUGAUGGACAAAAAUGAACCAUUGGCAUGACCAUUAUGCAUUGAAUUAGGAGUACAUAAUGAAAUUAUUGAUAUUGGUUUAAAAAUAAAAGUUUUGUCAUUUGCUGUGCUUAAUUGUCCAGUUAAAAAAAUUGUUUCAAUUAUUGAACUGAGGAAAUUAUUGGAGAAUGAAAAUACUGAACAAAUAAAUAAUUGGAUGUGAUUCUCAAAUAGUGGUUCCAAUCAUGAUAUAAACAACAUGGUAUGAUCGCAAAAGUCCAGAUUUGGUCCAAGUCUGCGCAAUACAUCACUUGCUUACCCGUAUUAUCAUAUUGUCAUUAAAUUAUUAUUACUAUACACUACUCUACGUCAUGUGCUUACUGAAUGAUCUGACCGCCAAAAAGUUACGAUCAUCCCUUAUUUUGUUUUUAUAUGCUCAAUCUUCAGUAUCUGAUCUUGAAAUAGGAAAUUAUUUACGUAAAUAUGCAUUGUUAUAUGUCUAGUAAAUGUGUAAAAGGGUUAGAUUUGAAUGUAAGCUCAGAAGAAAUGAAUAAAGAACUUAUAAGGAUUGCUGGGUAAAAUUGUUUUUUUUAAUUAUAUAAAUUAAUAUCAAAAUUGUAAAGUAUUAUGUACUUUAUUUUGUAUAAUUUUGUACACCUUUCCCAUUCGAGAAAACGCGAUUUCCCCGUUAACAUUUAGAUUGUUAUACCACAAAAGUUUUAUGUAAGAACCCAUGUAUAAUAUUUUUAAAUUACAAAAAAAUAACUAAAAAUGAUAUUUUUCGUUUAGGUACAUAUCUAAUUUUGUUCAAAUUUGAAUAAAAUGUCUAUAAAAAAAACUGUAUGAAUAUAUUUUUAGAGAUUUGGGUUAUAAUAUCAACUACUAAUGAAAAUCUGUUUUAGUUUUUCAAUCUUUAGCUUAAAAAUUUUAUUUUAUAAAUUUUUAACUACAGUUAAAAACAUAACUUGCAAUUUUUCGUGAUUUUCUUUUCAUCAUUUAUAUUUGAAAAUAUUAGAUUAAUUUCUAACUGAAAAGUAAUUUAAAUUUUCAGAACUGAUGAAUUUCGUUAAAAUUCUAACUUCAGACAGCCGUAAAAAAUUAUUGUAGACUUACGCUCAUUUUUUUUUUUAGAUUGUGAGUGGAGCGAUUAAUGUAUUAAUUUUACAAUGUUUUUUUAUUUUUUUUUUAAUUUUUAAAUUUUCUAUUUCCGUGUAUGUCACCACUGUUUGGAUCAGUAAAACUGCUUCGAUUUUCUUCAACAGUAUCUUGUUUGAUAGGAAAGUGAAUCUAGUUGGUGCACAUGGGAGGUCAAUUUCUCAAUAGUUUUUAAAAGCGUCGGGAAAAACAACAUAAAAGUUAAGGAAAAACGGGAACUUUUAAACAAUAUAGUUUUUCAACCAAAUCUAUUUUGGUUUUUGGUGUAACUCUAAAACAAAUGAACGUAUAUACGUGACAUUUUACUGGUUGUUUAUAUUCGCAUUUUCUAUACACGAUAAUAUUUUCAAAAUAUUUUGAUUUGUUUUGAACUGUUUAGGAACAUUUUCAGUUUCCAAUUUUUUUAGUUUUUUUUUUCUAUGAAUGUCAAUAUAAUUUUAUUCGCUGGGCCAAAAAGCGUCAAAAUUUAAUACAAGGUAUAUGUACCUAUUGCUUAAAUAGCAAUUGAAAAAUAUAAAAAUACAUAGGCACAAUAUUUUGAUUUUUGAUAAAAUUUAUUAGAUUUGAAUAUUUAAAAAUAAUUUUGUAGUUAAAAAUUUAUAAAAUGUCCAAAUUUUAUAGCUAAGGAUUGAAAACUUACAACGCACCUACGUAAGCGGUUUAUUCUGUAACCAAAAAAUCUUAAAAAUAUAAAAACUAGUUAUUUUAUGUUCAAAUUUGGAGGAACUUAUAUAUUAAAUAACCAAGAAUAACAAUUUUAGUUAUUUUAUUGUAAUUUUAUAAUAUUAAUUAAACUUUCCGUCUACCGUAUUAAUGAUAAGUAAUAACAAUAUAAAUAAAAUUUAAAAUAUCCACACUGACAACACACUAACCACAAACCAAUAGAAUUAAUCAAUA
This is a long non-coding RNA of Metopolophium dirhodum (rose-grain aphid), 2976 nucleotides long. RefSeq lists it as uncharacterized. NCBI's taxonomy places the organism in Eukaryota, Metazoa, Arthropoda, Insecta, Hemiptera, Aphididae. The transcript has 7 exons. The record is from RefSeq and is a predicted model, not a curated record.